CAGUAGCCCAUUCAUUUCUAGUGAGACUGUCAACCAUGACGGAUCAGGUACUGAUCACUGAUGUCGAUGUGUUCACUGACCUCGACGAUAUAACAUUAUCACAGGCCGUAGAUAAGUAUGAGUAUGAACUUGAAGAUAGUGACACGGUAGCUACUGACAUUGGAAUAGUUGAUACCAAGGAAUUAACUCAGCCAAUUGUUGUAAAUGAACUGAAUGGUAAUGUGAAAAACAUGUGAAAGGCUGUAGGAUUCGAGGGAAAUUACAUAAACCAUUCCGGAAAGAGGACCUGCGCUACUUCCCUUUACCAAGCAGGUUUUGAUGAACAACUCAUUAUGGACAGAACGGUACAUCGCAGCAGGGCUGUACGUGCAUACAAGAUGAAGAAAGAAGACGGAAAAUUUCUAAACGGCACUCGUAUUUCAUUAAAUUUUGUUUGAAAUGCA
This is a long non-coding RNA of Pecten maximus, 443 nucleotides long. RefSeq lists it as uncharacterized. The transcript has 2 exons. The record is from RefSeq and is a predicted model, not a curated record. NCBI's taxonomy places the organism in Eukaryota, Metazoa, Mollusca, Bivalvia, Pectinida, Pectinidae.